RNAcentral lists this ribosomal RNA (118 nucleotides) under Aggregatibacter actinomycetemcomitans. The record is from RNAcentral. Lineage: Bacteria; Pseudomonadati; Pseudomonadota; Gammaproteobacteria; Pasteurellales; Pasteurellaceae.
AUUUUAGCGGUUAUAGUGCAGUAGAGCCACCUGAAUCCAUACCGAACUCAGAAGUGAAAUGCUGUUACACCAAUGGUAGUGUGGGGCAUCCCCAUGUGAGAGUAGGUCACUGCUAAUU